RNAcentral lists this long non-coding RNA (661 nucleotides) under Nicotiana benthamiana. RNAcentral's name for it is "long non-coding RNA (NBEN_LNC014711)". Lineage: Eukaryota; Viridiplantae; Streptophyta; Magnoliopsida; Solanales; Solanaceae. The record is from RNAcentral.
UAGAGCAAAACCUCAAACAACAAAAACCUUCCUAAGUACAAACUUUCUUGACUUUCUAAGUUCAUAAAUUAUAGGAUUCCUAACUACAUGCUACUUUUUUAGUUACAUAAUCUUUGUAUCAUCAAUGGACUGCUUUGCUCUCUUCGACUCUGCAUACAUGCCUAGUCUGUCCACCAUCUUUUUUAAUUUGCCCAACACAAAAUUUCAGAUUCAGGCUAAUUUGUCUGAAAAUUCUUCAGUUUCUCGCUUGCCAGGUGAGAUAUACAAUUGCUCCUAUGAUUACUUCCAAUGCCUUCUUUUAAUCCACUAUAACAUCUCUGGUAUUUCCAUCUUUGGUAAAUUUAUUGCUGCCCAACUUGUUAGUGUAUCUCUCAUGCUUUUAAACCAACAGCAAUUCCCAAACAGAUGUUGCUGUGUCUCAAUCACUCCCAAAUUACACAUGUAACAUUCAGCAUUACCUGUUAUAGGGAUGUUCAUCUGUAUUAAUCUGCUUUUUGUUUGCAUUUUUUGUUGGUAUGCCAGUCACAAGACAAAUAUGUGUCUUGGUAGUAGUGUCCUAUUCCAUAUCAGCUGUUUGUGAAAUUGAGACGGACGGCAUUAUCUCUGAAAUUAAAUACUAUAAUAAUGCAGUUGUGUGCUAUGUUUUGGGAGCUCACCCACC